GAAUGAAGACAUGGAUGCUAUGACAAGUUACAUUUUAUUUAGCAAAAUGAAUUACUUCUUUUGGUGCCUGAGUGCCCCUUCUCUUCAGUCCUCUCUGCUUCUCGUUGCCGCCCUUUCUUUGCUAGACCGUCACUAGCACAUUAUUUGGUAGUCGCUGCCCCCACCGGUGUGUAGUUGAUUACUUGAAGAAGGCGGUUGGGUGCCUGCAGUUCUGGCAUCGUAGAACGCUUAAAACUAAAGCGGUGAACUAGGAAGGAAGGUAGCAUGGAGAGGCCCACUUAGAAGAAUUUCCAAGUUUGAUCAGGGGCCCCGAGGUCGUUGACAAAAAUAAAGAGAUUUCUUCUCGCAACAAAUUCCUUGGCUUGCUGAAUAGAGAUGAUGUUUUCUUUAGUUGAGCGAGAUACCAAGGGUUGUCAUUGAUUAACCAAAGUCGACUUAAUUGAAACUGAUUGGUUAUCAUUGAUAAAUAUGAUGACACUGCAACGUAAAUUACAUUCAUUUUGCAAUUGCGGAACAUAUGAAGAACUACAAAUCUUUAGAAGAAGAUGAAGUGAUUUGGUUGAUCCUUUUAUCCUUGUAAUGAACAAGGAGCAUGAUGGCUACAUUUGACUUUAUGGAAGAGGUGUUACUUUAAAAAUGAUGAACAAAAUGGGAGAUGGUGAGGAACCAUACAUGAUACAUGAUUUCGGGCUUAAGCAAUAAUUCAAAGCCAGCCUUGAAGUUAAAAAGACACAGUUGCUUGAAAUUCAAGAAAACCAUCAAAAAAAAAAAAA
This is a long non-coding RNA of Helianthus annuus (common sunflower), 773 nucleotides long. RefSeq lists it as uncharacterized. Lineage: Eukaryota; Viridiplantae; Streptophyta; Magnoliopsida; Asterales; Asteraceae. The record is from RefSeq and is a predicted model, not a curated record. The transcript has 6 exons.